UAGACAAAAGAAUGAAGAAAACUGGGAAUAAUAACUAUAAAGGACUUUUUCCCCCACAUUACAAAAAUGUAUUUGAAAUAAUUGACUGAAGUGACAAUAAUAUAUUGGGGGUUAAUAACACUUUCUACCCCUUUAUCUAUCUCUAUUCUCUCUUGAAUACCAGUGACCAAGAAUUUACCCUUUUGAUGCUGUCCCAUGAAUCCUGUAAGCUUUCUUCGUUCCUUUACUGUGUAUUUUUUGCCUGUAUAUUUUCAAAUAAUCUGCCUUUGAGUUCAUAGAUUGUUUCUUCUGCUUGAUCAAUUCUGCUGUUGAUAUUCUCUUUUUUAUCUUUCAUUUAGCUCAUUGUAUUUUUCAGCUGUGGGAUUUCUGGGGGUUUUUCAAAUUAUUCUUUCAAUCUCUUAAAUUUCUCAUUCUGGUCAUUUAUUGUUUUUCUUAUGUUGUUG
Molecule: long non-coding RNA, 443 nt
Filed under: Pan troglodytes (chimpanzee)
Lineage: Eukaryota; Metazoa; Chordata; Mammalia; Primates; Hominidae
Description: long non-coding RNA NONPTRT016790
Source: RNAcentral